CGCCAUAUCCAUCGAAGUUACCAAACCUCCACAACUAAACGGCGCCUACAGCUUCUGCCUUCUGGUACAUCGAAAACUUCUGUCGUCAACAUGAGAGCUAAGUGGAAGAAGAAGAGAAUGAGGAGAUUGAAGAGGAAGCGCCGAAAGAUGAGACAGAGAUCUAAGUAACUGUCUUAUGUUGCCGUUUUGGCAGGUUUUUGAGUUAUCAGGUUUUGUUGGAACAAUUGUCUGUCAUUUUGUUUUCGGAUAUUAUGAAUUAUGAUCCUUUAAUUUACAAUUUUAAUUUACUUUUUUCUUGUGGGUUUUAAUUGUUGCUGAAUCUUUACUGUUCAGUGAAAUUGGUUAAGUUUUCUGUGUGGUAAAUUUGUUUAUGAUGUGGUGUCUUCUGAUUAAGUUUUAGGUUUUGGAUGUUGAUUUGUUGAAUGAUAACAUUGAACAAUGCUGGUUUUUGUUUUAAAUUAUUUCGUGUAAUAUUUAUUAUAAUAGGGAUUGAAAUGAAAAUUUUUUUUGGAAACGGAUGGUGUAAGUAAAUUCAAAUUUUA
This 542-nucleotide long non-coding RNA is filed under the name Helianthus annuus (common sunflower). Lineage: Eukaryota; Viridiplantae; Streptophyta; Magnoliopsida; Asterales; Asteraceae. The record is from RNAcentral.